CCCAACUAUCCCUAUUAAUCAUUACAACGGUCCUAGAAACCAACAAAUAGAACCACUGUCCUAUUCCAUUAUUCCAUGCUAAUGUAUUCAAGCGACUGCCUGCUUUGAACACUCUAAUUUUUUCACAGUAAAAGUCCUGGUUCCCCGCCACGGCCGGUUAAGGCCAUGACGCUUCGCCAGAAGGUAGGACCCGACCACAGACAGUUCUCACCCAGAGGGCGGACCGUCCAGCCAGGCCUGAAAUUCAACUACGAGCUUUUUAACUGCAACAACUUUAAUAUACGCUAUUGGAGCUGGAAUUACCGCGGCUGCUGGCACCAGACUUGCCCUCCAA
Molecule: unclassified non-coding RNA, 334 nt
Filed under: uncultured Paraglomeraceae
Lineage: Eukaryota; Fungi; Glomeromycota; Glomeromycetes; Paraglomerales
Description: sequence contains 18S rRNA gene
Source: RNAcentral